Molecule: long non-coding RNA, 825 nt
Organism: Cyprinus carpio (common carp)
Lineage: Eukaryota; Metazoa; Chordata; Actinopteri; Cypriniformes; Cyprinidae
Source: Ensembl
AUUCAUGUCAUGUCAUUCAUUCAUUGGUCAAAAAAGGGAAAAGACAAUAAAGAUGAAUUUGACUGAUAGCAUGGAUUAUUUAUUUAUUUAUUUAUUUCAAGAUUUCUAUAUAUAUAACGAUAUAUCAUUAUCGUGAAUUUAUGUGGCCACGAUAAUCAUGCUGUGAAAAAUCUGAUAUCGUGACAGCCCUAAGUGGAACCAAACAGAAUUACAAAAAUAAUGACACUUCAGCCAUCUGCCAUUGUUCUCUUUCAGGUCAAGAGUGACUGUGCUGAUUAAGCUGGAUCUUCUAAACAUAUUUUUAGCUAACUGCUUGAACACAUCCGGUUUACUGACACAGGCAUCUGAAGGAAACUCUAUCAUCCCCUGGAGAACUGAGAAAUCUUCCAACAUGAAAAAAGUGACUAACAUCACCCUUAAAGAAUGGAUGCAUCCCUCCCGUACUCAACCAACACCAAACAAUGACAAGGAAUUUGAGAGUGUGUGGAGGCCCAGGGGCGAAGGCUGUCUCUGCACAUGAUCGCCCGCAACUAAUACAUCCCACAACUGCACAUGAGUGUGAUGGAGCCCCUGCCCGUAUUACUGUGGAAACAGGUGCUCUUUGCAGCCCAGCAGAUGUCCUGCAAUGCCGUUGUGGAAAUGGUCUCUCAAUAGCCAUGCACAGAAACAAUGCAUGAUGCCCUGCCAAGGUGGUCUGACUUCUGUUUAUUGUUGACGGUAUGUGUCUUUGUGUGUAUGUAUUGACAUAAACAGACUUGUAUGUUUGUGGAUGGGAAGUCCUGAGUAAUGUAAUAAAUGCAAGAUGAUCUAUGAUGCCUGCUGACA